This is a non-coding RNA of Clathrus columnatus, 84 nucleotides long. Lineage: Eukaryota; Fungi; Basidiomycota; Agaricomycetes; Phallales; Clathraceae. The record is from the annotation of a GenBank genome assembly.
GCCCUCUUGGCUCAGUGGUAGUAGCGCGUCACUAGUAUUUCUCUACAUAUGACGAGGUCGGUCGUUCAAAUCGGCCAGGGGGCA